This 94-nucleotide small nucleolar RNA is filed under the name Phanerochaete carnosa HHB-10118-sp. Lineage: Eukaryota; Fungi; Basidiomycota; Agaricomycetes; Polyporales; Phanerochaetaceae. The record is from RNAcentral.
UGCGUGUGAUGAAUCUUUCAAUCAGUUCUGCUUCCGAACGAGAGGGAAACCUCCUUGUGGACAGCUUUUAUACCAAAACUCUCAAUCCUGACCU